Condylostylus longicornis is the source of this 694-nucleotide long non-coding RNA. RefSeq lists it as uncharacterized. The transcript is spliced from 3 exons. The record is from RefSeq and is a predicted model, not a curated record. Lineage: Eukaryota; Metazoa; Arthropoda; Insecta; Diptera; Dolichopodidae.
UAAAGUUUCAUCAUAACUGAACGUAACAGUUGUGUUCUAUUUUUCGCGUAUCGCACAAAUUGAAUGAAAAAUUAAAAGAAAAAAAAAGAAAAGUUUUAUUCAAGUAUACCUACAUAAGUGAAUGUUGUGUUAUUUAAAUUGAAAAUUUGUUAUCAUUUCAUAAAAAGCACAAAUUAUAAUUGUUUCUUUUUUUUUUAAAUUAAUUAAAAAGUAAAGUUUUUAAUAAAAUUAAUAUAAUUAAAUUGAAAUUAUUAAUUGCUAUUUUAAUAUAAAAUAAAUUAAGAGAAUAUAAAACAAAAAAAAAAAAAAAAGAGUUAAAGAGACAUCUUUAUUUACUUUCAAACAUUAAUUUGAGAAGUUUUUAUGAACGCGAAUAUUCAAACAGGAAUUGAAAUAAUAAAAAAAAUUUAUACAUGUAUGUAAUUAUGUAUACAUGCUGUCGUAUAUAUAAAGUGUAUAAUAUGUUUGUAUAUAUAUUUGAAGUUUUUGCAAAUUAGAAAAACUCAAAAGCCAAAAAGAAACCCUCAAGUACAUUUGUGUGUAUUUUGCCAGCAAUAAUAAAAAGGGAAAAAGGAAAGAAAAGAGAAAACAAGGACCAAUUCAUAUUCAAACAGAUAUAUAAAACCGACAAGUAUUGUAAGCGGAAACAUUUUUAAAUCAAAAGUUGAAAAAGGAUCAAGCGAUUAUUCCGAUU